GCCAGACUCCUACGGGAGGCAGCAGUGAGGAAUAUUGGUCAAUGGGCGAGAGCCUGAACCAGCCAAGUCGCGUGAGGGAGUACUGCCCUAUGGGUUGUAAACCUCUUUUGUCGGGGAGCAAAAGCCGGACGUGUCCGGCUGUGAGAGUACCCGAAGAAAAAGCAUCGGCUAACUCCGUGCCAGCAGCCGCGGUAAUACGGAGGAUGCGAGCGUUAUCCGGAUUUAUUGGGUUUAAAGGGUGCGUAGGCGGGAUGCCAAGUCAGGGGUCAAUUACGGGGGCUCACCCUGCGUCCGCCGUUGAAACUGGCGUUCUUGAGUGGGCGAGAAGUACGCGGAAUGCGUGGUGUAGCGGUGAAAUGCGUAGAUAUCACGCAGAACCCCGAUUGCGAAGGCAGCGUACCGGCGCCCAACUGACGCUGAAGCACGAAAGCGUGGGUAUCGAACAGGAUUAGAUACCCUGGUAUA
Molecule: ribosomal RNA, 465 nt
Filed under: uncultured bacterium
Lineage: Bacteria
Description: bacterial SSU rRNA
Rfam family: Bacterial small subunit ribosomal RNA
Source: RNAcentral